GAGGGCAUAGCUCAUUGUUAGAGCACGUGCUUAGCACGCAGGAAGUCCUGGGUGCAAUCCCCAGUACCUCCA
This 72-nucleotide transfer RNA is filed under the name Camelus bactrianus (Bactrian camel). It matches the Rfam family "tRNA". From Rfam's summary of the family: Transfer RNA (tRNA) molecules are approximately 80 nucleotides in length. Their secondary structure includes four short double-helical elements and three loops (D, anti-codon, and T loops). Lineage: Eukaryota; Metazoa; Chordata; Mammalia; Artiodactyla; Camelidae. The record is from Rfam by way of RNAcentral. RNAcentral also lists the same sequence under 3 other names.